CUAAAGCUUAAGAAGGGUUUUCUACACUAUUGCACGAGUGUAUGGCUUUAAAACAAUCUCUUUUCUGUUUGACUUUCUCUUGCAUACUCUUAUCCC
Molecule: long non-coding RNA, 96 nt
Organism: Neltuma alba
Lineage: Eukaryota; Viridiplantae; Streptophyta; Magnoliopsida; Fabales; Fabaceae
Exons: 3
Source: RefSeq, a predicted model, not a curated record